UGAGCACAUUUACAGUUUUGGUUAAGUCAUCUAUGACACGGGGAUAAUGAUGGCCAUUCCUCUUACUUCACAGUUUGAUAUGACAAAGAGACAAGAUCAAGUAGAGGGACAGGCUUUCUGUACUGAGAAGAAUGGCUUUUCCUGUAUGACAACACUUUGGGACUGAAAAUAACAAUGGCUGAAAACUUGAGUCUCUCUCUGAACACGGACAGAUGCUACAUCACCUUAAGGGCUGCUCCUGAUGUCCUCCAGGGUGGCCGUGAGAACUUCCACAUCAUCCAGUAUCCGUCCUUCUUGAACCAGUUUACCGCAUUGCAAAGGUGUCAUUAGCAUGACCGCUUCACUGACGUUCUAACAUCACAAUCAUUGGGCUUCGAUGAUCGUCUUUCUGAGCCAAGGACAGCAACUGUCAAUCCCUUUCAACCGGAUUUGACUCAGUCGCUGAACCAGUGCAGAGAAAGCGAAGACGGUCACUGUACCAGGUACAGUGUUUGACUAAUUGUGUUCUUUCCUGACCUCUGUUUUGUAGGUUGGUGCGGUGACC
RNAcentral lists this long non-coding RNA (544 nucleotides) under Rattus norvegicus (Norway rat). RNAcentral describes it as "long non-coding RNA NONRATT031458". Lineage: Eukaryota; Metazoa; Chordata; Mammalia; Rodentia; Muridae. The record is from RNAcentral.